CAUUUUGAGAUCAGUCGAGUGAACAUCUCCGACACGGCAACUACUGCUGCGCACCAUUGGUAACCAACCUCCUUCUUCAUCGUUUAACCAGUUCGCAAUCACGGUUAACUAUGACGGCGUGCUGCUGUUGGGUGUUGUAUCGUUGAUGGCUGGAUCGACCAAUGGUGUACUGAUGUCUCCUGGUUAUAGCUGAUACCAAACCGCAAUGCCGCCGCCUAACUACACAACAACUUUAACGACCAGUUACAACACCGAGGCCUGGACCGAGACCCAUAAGUACUGCACCACUAAGUCACCGAAGUAGGAUACGAUAACUUACGCUUCGCCGAGCUAUUACACCGAUCCCCCGAAUUAUUACUUUGCCUCCAGUUGCACCACCAAGUCAGCGAAAUACUACACGACUACGUAUCCUGCUUAUCUUACUACACCGAGGCUCCAGCUACUACACCGAGGCUCCAGCUACUACACCGAGGCUCCAGCUACUACACCGAGGCUCCAGCUACUACACCGAGGCUCCAGCUACUACACCGAGGCUCCAGCUACUACACCGAGGCUCCAGCUACUACACCGAGGCUCCAGCUACUACACCGAGGCUCCAGCUACACAACCACGACUGAUGCGGUCAUGGUUUACGUAGCCCCAACUUUCUACUCAACUGCUGCCCCUUCGUAUUGCGUUGAACCGAAAUACUGCACUGAAGCUUCAGUUUACUACACCGAAAAUCUGAAGUAUUACUCUGCUCAUAGUAUCUACACCACUAAGGCACCUGAAUAGUACACUAAGACAUACUCCAGAUUUCUAGAAGGAUUCUAAAUGCCAGAGCUGAUAUGAUGGAAAAUCUGUACACAUACAUAUACACAAUAUCAUAAUAGUUACUAAAGUCACUAGGAAUUGUUCUUUGAUGAGAAAAUAAAGUUUUUAAUUUGGGUAA
Daphnia pulicaria is the source of this 931-nucleotide long non-coding RNA. RefSeq lists it as uncharacterized. The transcript has 2 exons. NCBI's taxonomy places the organism in Eukaryota, Metazoa, Arthropoda, Branchiopoda, Diplostraca, Daphniidae. The record is from RefSeq and is a predicted model, not a curated record.